RNAcentral lists this unclassified non-coding RNA (200 nucleotides) under Plectosphaerellaceae sp. Its description in RNAcentral is "partial internal transcribed spacer 2". The record is from RNAcentral. Lineage: Eukaryota; Fungi; Ascomycota; Sordariomycetes; Glomerellales; Plectosphaerellaceae.
UUAAGUUCAGCGGGUAUUCCUACCUGAUCCGAGGUCAACCUUGUGCCGCGCGGGGCGGGCUUGUAGGGGGUUUUGACGGCAAGAAACCCGGAGGCUCCCGAUGCGAGACAUGAGUUACUACGCAAGGGAAGGGCCGCCACGGGUCCGCCGCUGAUUUCAGGGACCACGCCAGGCGUGGAACCCCAACGCCGGGCCCCAAG